UCGUGACUCCGGUCAGCCUUUUCUCC
RNAcentral lists this non-coding RNA (26 nucleotides) under Homo sapiens (human). Lineage: Eukaryota; Metazoa; Chordata; Mammalia; Primates; Hominidae. The record is from RNAcentral.